UACGUAGGGGGCAAGCGUUGUCCGGAUUUAUUGGGCGUAAAGAGCGUGUAGGCGGCUUUGCAAGUCCGUUGUGAAAACUCGAGGCUCAACCUCGAGACGCCGGUGGAAACUGCAAAGCUAGAGUCCGGAAGAGGAGAGUGGAAUUCCUGGUGUAGCGGUGAAAUGCGCAGAUAUCAGGAGGAACACCGAUGGCGAAGGCAGCUCGCUGGGACGGUACUGACGCUGAGGCGCGAAAGCGUGGGGAGCGAACAGG
Molecule: ribosomal RNA, 253 nt
Filed under: uncultured bacterium
Lineage: Bacteria
Description: partial 16S ribosomal RNA
Rfam family: Bacterial small subunit ribosomal RNA
Source: RNAcentral